GGGUGGUCUGAGUGCAAUGGUAUUUACAACUAAUUGAUCACCACUAGUUACAGAUUCCUUUGUUCCUUCUCCACUCCCACAGCUUCACAUGACUGGCCUUAA
RNAcentral lists this Y RNA (102 nucleotides) under Microcebus murinus (gray mouse lemur). Its description in RNAcentral is "Y RNA (ENSMICG00000044612.1)". It matches the Rfam family "Y RNA". Rfam says of the family: Y RNAs are components of the Ro ribonucleoprotein particle (Ro RNP), in association with Ro60 and La proteins. The Y RNAs and Ro60 and La proteins are well conserved, but the function of the Ro RNP is not known. The record is from Rfam by way of RNAcentral. Lineage: Eukaryota; Metazoa; Chordata; Mammalia; Primates; Cheirogaleidae.